CCACGGGACACGUGAAACCCUGUGGGAAGCAGGAGGGACCACCCUCCAAGGCUAAAUACUACCUAGUGACCGAUAGCGUAUAGUACCGUGAGGGAAAGGGGAAAAGAACCCCGGGAGGGGAGUGAAAUAGAACCUGAAACCCUGCACUUACAAGCUGUGGAAGCACAUUUCUUGUGUGACCGCGUACUUUUUGUAGAACGG
This 201-nucleotide ribosomal RNA is filed under the name Clostridioides difficile. Its description in RNAcentral is "partial 23S ribosomal RNA". It matches the Rfam family "Bacterial large subunit ribosomal RNA", at positions 415 to 618 of the family's 2925-position model. Lineage: Bacteria; Bacillati; Bacillota; Clostridia; Peptostreptococcales; Peptostreptococcaceae. The record is from RNAcentral.